Orcinus orca (killer whale) is the source of this 7603-nucleotide long non-coding RNA. RefSeq lists it as uncharacterized. NCBI's taxonomy places the organism in Eukaryota, Metazoa, Chordata, Mammalia, Artiodactyla, Delphinidae. The transcript is spliced from 2 exons. The record is from RefSeq and is a predicted model, not a curated record.
AGGUGUUGGGAGGGGAGCGGGAAGUGGCUGAGUCAGCAGCUGUGGGUUCAGAGCCUGGUGCGUCCAAGGACCAGGCACGGCCCCCUUCUCUCUCUUACCCACACUCAUAGUUUUCCUAUAAACAGAGGGCACUUCUGUGCCAGGAGGAGUGAGAAUGGGCACGGCCUCUGGGUAUCUUCCUGGGCAAACUGUCUCCCCUCGCCCAGGGCCGGUCCCCCAGGGGUCCAGGCACUGGGUCCCUUGAUGCCAACACCUCUACUUCUCUAAUGUCCUGGUGGUACGUGGUCCCCAGCCGUGCUCAUUCCUUGGGCAGGCCCAGUGUGUCUGUUUAUACCGCGGGAUCCAGUGAGGAGUUUACGGUAAGGAAACCACUAGGGGAGUUACUUCCCUCCCCUGCGCCUUGUCCAGCUCCUUUGGGCCUCUCCCCCCGCUUCUCCCACAUGGCCAGAGUUCAUGGAAACUUCUCAGGUCAGUGAUUCUCACCUUCCUUUCCUCCUCGGGAGAGAGGGGCCCAACCCCCCCCCCCAACUCUGGAGCCUGGCACCUUCCUUCCCUCAAAGUCCUGCUUUCCUCGGCGAUGGCAUGCCAUGGGGAGGAGGGGCAGGCGUGGGGCUGGACCCAGGGCAGAGCCUCAACCCCAUGGCCUCACCCGCAUCUUCUGGCACCAUCUGCUGGAUGAGAAGAUGUGUCUCUUGCUUCCUGUGAUCUUAGAGGUGAGCCUGGGAAGCAGGAGGUGAAGCAGAGAGAGACUGGGGCGCCUUUGCCCCAAAGUGAGGGAGGACAGCGGUGCUGAAACAAAAAGGGAGAAGGACCCCAAACCAGCCCACCACUCCAUCAAUUCAUAGAUGCUGUUAGAUCGGCAUCCCCUCUGAGGAGCCCAUAAUGUGCUGUGUGGUAGGGGUGGGGGGAGAUUUGAGGGAGGCUGAGGGAGGCUCGAGGCGCUUCCUGAAGUGGAGUAGGACUCCGCCCCUCCCUGACCACAGGCAGUUGGGGCUGCUCUGGCUGAGGCUCGGUGGGGCUGUGCCCUGCUUGUCUGUCUGUCUGGGUGGUGUCCUCAUCUGGGGUCCAGGGCAGGCGGUGCUGUGCGUGGGGCAAGAGGGGACUGAGCCCACCGGCCUCAGCACCGGUGCGUGGGCGUCACCUGAGGAUGCUCUGUCUGUCGGGAACCAUCGCUCCUCGCCGGGCCAGAGCAAGAAAGAAGAGCGGCGCUCGCCCCUGCAGGCCGGGGAGGGGUGCCAGGGGCUGAGGGACCGCAGACCAGGCCUCUCCGCCCCCCACAUCCGAUCUGCCUCACCGCCCAAGCGGCACAGAUUAUUUUUGCUCCUUCAGACUCUGCCAGGGCCUUUGCCCCAUCUCCAGGAGUUACUCAGUUACCAGCAUCGGUUUUCUAUUUCCAGAGCAAGGCAGGCCCUCCCCUCCUGGCUUCCUUCACCCAGGCCCUGGCAUUUCCUCUGCAUCCAGCCCCGGGAGGGGUCCAAGGGCAGGGGAUUCCUCAUCUCCAAUGGAAGAGGAAGGGGCAUCUGAGGGAGGACCAACCCCCUUCCCCUUCACACCUUCUCUCUCCGGCUUCCUCCUGGAAUGUUUCCAUCCGUACAGGGAUGGGUCUUCUAAAAAUCCCUCUACCACACCCACACCAGGGGCAAGGCGGGGGGGGGGGGGGUGCAUGACACUCGCUGCUUCUACUUCCUCCCCGGCCGUCCCCGCUUCACUCCACCCCAGCCUGGCUUCUGCCCCACCACCAUUCAUAUUAAAUUCACCAAACUCUUGCCUCAGGUGUCCCCUCUCUCAUCGGCUUUAACUCACCCUGAAGCCCUCCCUUCUCCAGGCUUCCCCACAUGGUGCUGUCCUGGUUUUCUUCCUGCCUCGCUGGUGGCUUCAAAGAGAUUCUAGUGCCAGUGCCCUUGGACUUGGUCUUGGGCUCUUCUCUCCAUGCCUCCACGGCUGUAGACACCACACACAUGGUGGCAAGUCCACAUUUCUAACUGGCCCCUUUCUUCUCUUUGAGGUCUGAUUUUCAGAGGCAGGUGCCACGUGGCAUUUCUACUUGAGGUCUCCGGACGUUUUGAAAUUCGCCUGUCCCGACAAGAACUCUUGAUUCUCACUGCUACCUACCCCACCAGGCUUGCCUAUAUCACCUCCACCUUCCUAGUUGCUAAGGACUGUGGUCCUUAAUUCCUCCUCACAUUCCACACCCAUUACAUCAUCAGGUCCAGCAAACUCUGCCUCUAAAGCGUACCUCUAAUCCCACCACUUCUCUCAAUUGUCACAACCUCCCCAGCUUUUUCUAAAUUACCCUCCUCUCCUUACCUGGAACCUAUGGUGGCCUCAUGACUGGUCUCCCUGCUCCCAGCUUGAGGUUCCUCCAUUUCAACCUCCGUGAAGCAUAAGAAUCAUCAUUCAGACCAUAGCAGACUUUCCCCACAGCCUUUCCUUUCAGCCUGCCCGUGUCUGUGUGUGUGUACGUGUGUUCAGAACGUUACUGCGGCCUCUCAGGCAGGCCCUGAGUGAUUCUGGACUUUUCCCAGAUCCCUAGCUUCAUCUUCUGCCCUCCUUACUGGCCGGGCACUCGGCUCUUUCAGUUCCUAAUGGUCAAAGUUCUUUUCCUGCCUCAGGACCGAGAACUUCCACUCCCCCGCCACCUGCUCCCUACUCCCCCAGCAGCUGGCCCCAUCCUCAUCCUUCAGGUUGGCCUGAGUGUCAUGUCCUCAGAAAGGCUUUCUGCACUGUCCUGUCCACACUAGCCCUCCCAGGUCUCAGCUGCCAGAGCCAGGUCAGUCUGUGGGGCUGGAGGAGGGGAGGGGAGGGGAAGUCUCUCCGGGACAAUGCUCCCUGCAAGAAGGAACAGAGCACAAACUUCCAGCGGCCUCUUUACACCCAGGCCCAGGGGAUCUGCCUAGACGCAGGAUGGAACAGGGCGUCAGCACGUGUUCAGGGGUGUCCUGGUCUCACCAGCCUCUCCCAGUGACAUUAAACAUAUUGUGUAGUGACCUCAAUCCCCCAGAGGCUUCCAAGGCCUGGGGAAUACAAGCAGAGUGGAGAAGGGGCUGGCGAAAUGCUUGUGCCACCCUGACCCCCUCCCAUCCCAAGGGUCUCCGAUCCUUCCAACUCUGGGGCUGCAGGCAAGCUCACAUCCCUUUGCUUGGAAACCCCAGAUCUCAUAGCCUUUCAGAUCAGGUUGGGCUCCAAGAGGGCAUCCUUGCCCUCCUCUUCCCUCCAGGAAGGCCAGGCUCCUGUGACAUCAGAGAUACAUGGGAAGGAAAGGCUGCACAGCCUAUCUUGUUCACCCUCCCCAGGGUCUUCCAUGCCUAAGGAGUAGAAACUCCUUCCCAUUUUUGUCCCUCCCACUGGCAUUUGUGGCAAGUUACAUGGAGUCCAGGUCUCUGAGAACCAAGAUGACCUUGUUUCAGCUAAUUCUUUUUCUGUCUUUCCAAUUCCCCAUGGCUCUAUCUAUUUUCCUUUGUGUCUCUGUGUUGCUUCCCAAUUAAUUAAUAAUUUUCAAGGAGAUGUAGCUUGGGUGUGGGGAAUCCCCUCCUUGUGUCCUCACGGGACUGACACGUAGGAUUUUCCAGCAUCGGGUCCAACACCUAAUGAAUGAGUCCAGAGACACACUUUACACAUUUUCCUAUUUACAUAUGGUCUGAUUCCUAGGGCUGCUUCCCACAUGUGCAAACACACACAUAGUCACACAUACGCACACUUACGCAUACACAUUCUCUCAGCCAUGCUUGCACGUACAUUCACACACAUACGCUAGCACAUGGUUGCCAUCCAUCUAUCUAUCCUAUAACAGGAGGCGUUGGUGUGUCAGGAAGGGGCCCACUGUCACUGACACCUGUGGGAGAAUUCAUCCUUGGGCCCUUUGUUGAACAAACAUCAUGAUGGGCCAUUUGAGUCCUGGAAGGCAGUCCUCCUCGAAUGGGAUAGGCUUGGACUGAGACAAAGAGAGAAUCAACAGGAAUUUGUGGGUGAGGGCUGUUUAGCUUAGAAGGCACUUGGAUGAGGAAGGAGCCACAACAUCGUAGGAAGCUCGAGCCCAAGUAGAAGACAAUUCCCCAGGACAGGAAUGUGGGGGAAAGGAACAGCUGGAAGACUUUUAAGGACAGAGUUCUAGUAGUCAACAUUAGGAGAUAUUCUGUUAUAUGGCAGAGAACAGCCCCUCUGUUCCUUCCACAUCCACAGGGAAAGUUGGCUGCAUCCACUGACUUUGGUGAGUGAUGUUUGGGAGAAAUCAAGGAAAAUGGACUGAAUUAGACGCUUGAAUCCAUGCAGGUGGAGAGUGGAAAUGUCCACAGGAGGCAAGAUAUAAAAGAGAAAAUCCCACAGAAGCAUGAACUUAGAGCCAGAAAUGACUGGGGUGGCCAGGGUGGGGUGGGGGGACAUUGGGCAAGCCCCCUUCCCAUCCCAAACAUUCCUAGAGAUAUUGGGAGGGACCCUGGAUUUCCCACCAUCUGUGGGAUGAACGUUUGAGUUGAUAUCUCAUCUCAAAGAACAAAUGACCCAAGUUGAGUCCCAUGGAAACGCACAUAUUAAAACGUGUGUGUUCACACUCACAUAAGAGUUUCUUUCCCCUUGAUAGAGCAUGAAUGAGGCAGUGAUUUGGCAAGUACCAGGUUAACUUUAUAAAUGAAGACAGCCAAACCAGAAUAUUUAGGUUCAAAAAGCUACUACUGGCCUGAAUGAUCUGGUUUGGCCUUCUUGACUUAGCAAAUUAACCAGAAAAUUGCCAAAGCCCUGCGCUUGUGCUGGACAGACACAGUUUUAGCGUGGCCUGUAUCCUUAUAGAUACAUAGAUAUCUCUCCACACACGAUUAAGUAGAUCUCUCCACGUUAUUACAUCUAAUUUAUAUUUGCAACCAACUCGAUGAUUGUCCCAGAUUGGUCCAGAACCAAUCUUUCAUAGAGGGCUGGAUUUCUACAGCUGCCUAGCAUGUGACUGAACCAUGGGUAUAAAACACUGAAAAAGUAGGACACGCUAAACAAAGAAAAGACCAUGAUGGAUUGCUUCUGUUCUUGUUAUUGUUUUCAUUCUCUAUUAAUGUGUGUCCGAAAAUGAGAUGACAUUUACUGUUAGCCUAAAUUGCACAUAAUUGGCAAAGAAAGCCUGCUUUUAUAAAAGAACCCCCAAAUCAAAGCACCAAAUAGGAAAGUUCUUAAAGAAAUAGGAAGAGGACAGGUAUAACGGAAGCCUUUUGAGUCAAAAGAGAGAUUUGCAUUUUCACCUUAGUUUUGCUAGGGACUUGUUUUGAAAACUUGUCAGUGUCACCAUCUGUACCAUGAUGGAGUAGGUGUAGGUGCUUUUGAGAAGUCCCUUCCAGCUCUACAAUGCUGAGACUCCCCAAGAACAUCUAACUCAUGUGGGUCAUCAGGUGUUUGUGAGAAUGGUCUGAUAUGGUGGACAUAGUAGGCCUCAAAUUUUAACGUGAGUAUUAAAAUGUGAAUCACGUGAGGAUCUUGUUAAAAUGCUGAUUCUGAUUCACUAAGUCUGGGUUUGAAAUUUCUUAUUUCUAAUAAGCUCCCGGGGUAGGCCUAUGCUGCUGGUUCGAAGACCACACUUUGAGAAGCAAAGGCACUAAACCUCCUGGGUCUGACGUGAGAAGUCCCAGGUCUGUCUCCAGUUUCUUGUCUUUGCUGAGCCUCAGUUUCCUCUUUUGCAAAGUAAAAACAGUCUUAAAUACAUACUCCCAGAGUUUGUCAUGAGGCUCAUAGGAGAGAACAUAUUUUUGAUAGAGUGUCUUACAAAUGUUCGUUAUUAUUGUUUUGGGGUGGCAGAGCUUCACCUUCAAAGACUUCCGAGUGCUGCUGUCAUGGCGGGUGGACCGAUGGGGUGAUAGCAGCCAGCAUCCCUGCAUCCUUGCAUCGGUUCCACAGCGCGCUCACGUGAAGCCUUUUCCCUGGAAGCUGUUAUUUGCAGAGCCAGAUGCUCUGUGUUUCUCCCUCUUUCCCCCGAUUGCCGGUCUGCUUGUUCUCCUGGCCCGUGACCCAGAGAGGCCACAUGGCUUCCAGCUGUGCUGGGGCAUCCGGAACACAUUCCUCCUCCCCUCCACCCUUCCACCCGUCCUCCCCGCGCCCCCUCUCGUGAACUCUCCCUUUAGCUCGCUAUGUGCUCAGGGCUGGCCCAGGCAGAACUCUGCACUAUGCGGUUUUAACUCCCUGUUUCUCCCUUAGGCAGCCAGUGCCCUCAUGUCCUCAUGCCUUCAGCUCACUCCACCCAACCCACCCCAUCAAAUCCUCACGUUGGGAAAGCACCUGAUUCUCGAAUUCAGGGUUAGCAAUGGCUGAUAACACUUAGGGUGACCUCUCCUUAGAGGACAAAGCCAGGAUGCGGUUAGAACCACAAGGGAACAGUUCAGGCCUCAGUGCCUGGAAAGGGUGUCUUUGGAAGGGGUCAGGAGGCCUCUCUACUACCUCUGAAAUCCUAGACUUCGGUGUCCUGCAUCUGUCAGCCUUGCAGUGUUCCAUUUUCAGCCAGAAACAUUCCAACCUUGCGGUAUUCUUGAUCUUACUCCUGACCCGCAUGGGUGUUUGUGAAAGCCGAGACCACCUCCUUUGAUUUCAUAGACUGAUGUGAAAACCUGGCAGGUCCAGGCUUCUUCACCACAUAGAAGCUUUGACACAGAUGUCAUGAUGAACCAGGGGUUUCUAACCUGCUUCCCCCCUCGACAGCCUUGUCAGUCGGUGGUCACGUGUGGGACAAAAUCUCCUCCAGGUGCCCUGGGUGAUGAAUACGAACCCCCCGCAUCCCCGCCCCAGGUAUAACUCUACCCUUUUCACUCUUAUUCAGACCAGUCUCAUGCAAGUAAGGAAGAAGAAUAUUAUUAUAAGGUAACUUUAAUUUACUCUGAUUAUUAUUAUUUUUUAAGUAUGGGGUUUCUAAACUUUGGUGCUUUAUUUAACAUCAAGAACAAAUAGUGACCUCGGAUAGCUGUCCAUGGACUCUGUUUGCUCCAAUAUUGGGGCCACGGACUGCCUGCUCAAGAAGAGGAUUUGAUUUUAUGUAACAAACUCACUGAAUAUCUAUUUUGUGCCAGGCUGCCAGCCUUUGAAGAUACAAAGAUAAAUAAGACAUGGGCACUGCAUAGCCAGCUGGAGAGGGGAGGGAGAGCUGUCUCCCCUAAGGACGUGCUAUUCUUUCAGGCUUUUGUCGUAUCUACGCCGCCUCUAGUUGCCAUGAGGCUGUUUCUGCCACCUUUUUUUUUUUUCUUUCUUUUUUCUUCCUAAAUGAAUCUUGCUAUUUUAUUUUCUUUAAGUGUGUCAAGUUCAGUAAUCUUCUCAGAAACCAGCUUUUGAGUUUGUCCAUUAUUGUCUGUCUCUGGAUUUCUUAAUUUUGCUUUUAUUUUUAUGUUUCUACUUUCUUUGAAUAUUCUCUUGAUUUGUUAAAUCGAAUAUGUAACUGAUUAACAUUCAGUCUUUUUUUAUUAUCAAUAUAUUUUAAACUAUACAUUUUCCGAUAGAGUGUUUUCACUGCACCCACAAAUUUUGAGGCGUACUGUUUUUAUUAUUUAGUUAUACUUUUCAUAGCUGUAAUUAUUUUUCUUUGGCCUAUAAAUGAUUUCUGAGAGCAUUUGAAGUUUGCCAAAUAAAAAUCUUGUUUGUAUUUUUGAAA